ACAGAGGUGGGAGGCAACGACCUUUAGCGAGGAAAAGGUCAGGGGAGGAAACGGUAAAAAAAAAAAAAAAAGAAGAAGAUAGUCGAGGAAUUGCUGGAGGAAUGUCAGCCUAUGAGUUCACAGCCCAGGGAGUGGAAGACAACAACAACGAGCUCGGGCGUUUUGAUGGCCCAGCAGGCGGCUGCAUUCAAUCGCCAAUCAGUCAGCACUCAACACACCUGCCGCUGAUGAGCUCCCUGGGCUUCUUAAGCCAGUUCAAACCUGCGUUCCGGGCCAGAACGUAGCGACCUGUUCCAGUACACAGCAUUCCUCCGUUCCCGCGUCACAAGCUGUGUGUCUCGUCUCCCUCUAUUCCCUCUGGUUCCCUGGCUGCCUCUUGGAUCUCAAUCUCCCGCCUGGACACGGACUGUUGACGCCUCGCCCCUGCCCUUGACCUCACGCCUGCCCACGGACCUCCGAGCUUGCCUUUCCCCCUUGGACUUCCGGUAACACUCAUCAGAUAAUCGCUACACGAAGUCGCACACCAUACACAUUUUGGAUUAGUUUCACACU
This is an RNA transcript of Entelurus aequoreus (snake pipefish), 552 nucleotides long. It is a transcript of the gene named molybdenum cofactor cytidylyltransferase-like, with no coding region annotated. The transcript is spliced from 3 exons. The record is from RefSeq and is a predicted model, not a curated record. Lineage: Eukaryota; Metazoa; Chordata; Actinopteri; Syngnathiformes; Syngnathidae.